GUACUCACUUAGGCAGCACAUAUACUAAGAUUGAAACAGUACAGAGAAGAUUAGCAUGGCCCCUGUGCAAGGAAGAUAUGCAAAUUCAUAAAGUGUUUCAUACUUUU
RNAcentral lists this small nuclear RNA (107 nucleotides) under Catagonus wagneri (Chacoan peccary). Lineage: Eukaryota; Metazoa; Chordata; Mammalia; Artiodactyla; Tayassuidae. The record is from RNAcentral.